GUUAAGGUGGCAGAGCCCGGUAAUUGCAAAAGACCUAAGUCCUUUCUACAGAGGUUCAAGUCCUCUCCCUAACU
Molecule: transfer RNA, 74 nt
Filed under: Occella dodecaedron
Lineage: Eukaryota; Metazoa; Chordata; Actinopteri; Perciformes; Agonidae
Description: tRNA-Leu
Rfam family: tRNA
About the family: Transfer RNA (tRNA) molecules are approximately 80 nucleotides in length.
Source: RNAcentral